AUUGAACGCUGGCGGCAGGCCUAACACAUGCAAGUCGAACGAGUGGCGGACGGGUGAGUAAUGUCUGGGAAACUGCCAGAUGGAGGGGGAUAACUACUGGAAACGGUAGCUAAUACCGCAUACCAUCGGAUGUGCCCAGAUGGGAUUAGCUAGUAGGUGGGGGAACGGCUCACCUAGGCGACGAUCCCUAGCUGGUCUUAGAGGAUGACCAGCCACACUGUAACUGGGACACGGUUCGGACUCCUACGGGAGACAGCAGUGGGGAAUAUUGCAGAAAGGUCGCAAGCCUGAUGCAGCCAUGCCGCGUGUAUGAAGAAUGCCUUCGGGUUGUAAAGUACUUUCAGCGAGGAGGCGGUACUCGCAGAAGAAGCACCGGCUAACUCCGUGGCAGCAGCCGCGGGAAC
RNAcentral lists this ribosomal RNA (404 nucleotides) under uncultured bacterium. RNAcentral's name for it is "partial 16S ribosomal RNA". It matches the Rfam family "Bacterial small subunit ribosomal RNA", at positions 30 to 524 of the family's 1533-position model. The record is from RNAcentral.